Long non-coding RNA from Symphalangus syndactylus (siamang), 300 nucleotides. RefSeq lists it as uncharacterized. The record is from RefSeq and is a predicted model, not a curated record. Lineage: Eukaryota; Metazoa; Chordata; Mammalia; Primates; Hylobatidae.
GACCUCUCAUCUAUUGUCAUCACAGGGGAGAUAACGGCUGCCAACCAAGCCCAAAACUUGAUUGUUAAAGGGUUAUAUGAUGGCAAUACAGAUUAGAUGCUUAAAUGCCCUGUGCUAAAAUCAGAUCCAUCAGAGAAUUGAGGACACAGAACAUACCACCACCUGGAAAACUAGAGAGAGAGGACAAUAUAAGAAUCACAACUUACCAGGAGCUGCAGCAGACAGAGCCUAACCAGAAGCCAGAGAACAUGGAAAAUCAAUGAUGCAUCCUGUCUGUCAGACUCCUGGGCGCAGAGCAGG